This 860-nucleotide ribosomal RNA is filed under the name uncultured marine bacterium. RNAcentral's name for it is "bacterial SSU rRNA". It matches the Rfam family "Bacterial small subunit ribosomal RNA", at positions 8 to 916 of the family's 1533-position model. The record is from RNAcentral.
AGAGUUUGAUCCUGGCUCAGAACGUACGCUGGCGGCACGCCUAACACAUGCAAGUCGAACGAAGUAGCAAUACUUAGUGGCAGACGGGUGAGUAACAUGUGGGUAUCUGCCCUUUGGCCUGGAAUAACACGAGGAAACUUGUGCUAAUACCGGAUAAGUCUUUACGGAGAAAGCUUUAUGCACCAUUGGAUGAGCCCGCACUUGAUUAGUUUGUUGGUGGGGUAAUGGCCUACCAAGACUGUGAUCAAUAGCUGAUUUGAGAGGAUGAUCAGCCACAUUGGGACUGAGACACGGCCCAAACUCCUACGGGAGGCAGCAGUGGGGAAUCUUGCACAAUGGAGGAAACUCUGAUGCAGCGAUGCCGCGUGAGUGAAGAAGGCCCUUGGGUUGUAAAGCUCUUUCGUCGGGGAAGAAAAUGACUGUACCCGAAUAAGAAGGUCCGGCUAACUUCGUGCCAGCAGCCGCGGUAAUACGAAGGGACCUAGCGUAGUUCGGAAUUACUGGGCUUAAAGAGUUCGUAGGUGGUUGAAAAAGUUAGUGGUGAAAUCCCAGAGCUUAACUCUGGAACUGCCAUUAAAACUUUUCAGCUAGAGUAUGAUAGAGGAAAGCAGAAUUUCUAGUGUAGAGGUGAAAUUCGUAGAUAUUAGAAAGAAUACCAAUUGCGAAGGCAGCUUUCUGGAUCAUUACUGACACUGAGGAACGAAAGCAUGGGUAGCGAAGAGGAUUAGAUACCCUCGUAGUCCAUGCCGUAAACGAUGUGUGUUAGACGUUGGAAAUUUAUUUUCAGUGUCGCAGCGAAAGCGAUAAACACACCGCCUGGGGAGUACGACCGCAAGGUUAAAACUCAAAGGAAUUGACGG